UACAGGGGGGGCAAGCGUUGUUCGGAAUUACUGGGCGUAAAGGGCGCGUAGGCGGCCUUCUAAGUCGAACGUGAAAUCCCCGGGCUCAACCCGGGAACUGCGUCCGAUACUGGAAGGCUUGAAUCCGGGAGAGGGAUGCGGAAUUCCAGGUGUAGCGGUGAAAUGCGUAGAUAUCUGGAGGAACACCGGUGGCGAAGGCGGCGUCCUGGACCGGUAUUGACGCUGAGGCGCGAAAGCCAGGGGAGCAAACGGG
Molecule: ribosomal RNA, 253 nt
Filed under: uncultured bacterium
Lineage: Bacteria
Description: partial 16S ribosomal RNA
Rfam family: Bacterial small subunit ribosomal RNA
Source: RNAcentral